GCAGCUCAGUUGAUAGAGCACGAGACCCUUGAAUAUCAGGGUUGUGGGUUCGAGCCCCACAUUGGGCA
Podarcis lilfordi (Lilford's wall lizard) is the source of this 68-nucleotide non-coding RNA. The record is from the annotation of a GenBank genome assembly. Lineage: Eukaryota; Metazoa; Chordata; Lepidosauria; Squamata; Lacertidae.